This 347-nucleotide long non-coding RNA is filed under the name Lepidothrix coronata (blue-crowned manakin). RNAcentral describes it as "lncRNA (ENSLCOG00000004739.1)". The record is from RNAcentral. Lineage: Eukaryota; Metazoa; Chordata; Aves; Passeriformes; Pipridae.
AGUACCUGCCGCCUUUUGUCGCACCGCUUGAAUCAGUGCCCCUGUUCUGGGCCUCUGGUUUCCUGAAAGAGCUUUAAACAUCGACCCACUCAAAGCUGGUUAUUGAGCUGUCCCACCCGUUGGCCUUUUUAACACUAGAAACAUAUUUUGGAACUGCAUGAAAAGAAACAGCUCUGAAAUAAGAGGUGUUUUGUGUAUGCGUUGUAUUUGGCACAUGUUUGCAUGACAAGAGGUAGGACUGUCUUGACUGCUGCAUUUUGCACGUGCCUUUCACAUUCGUGUAAGAGGUAUUUACAUGUUUUCCAGUGAGAAGACCUUUUGUUUUGCUGUAAAGCACUUUUGUCCGG